RNAcentral lists this ribosomal RNA (1480 nucleotides) under metagenome. Its description in RNAcentral is "bacterial LSU rRNA". It matches the Rfam family "Bacterial large subunit ribosomal RNA", at positions 1438 to 2914 of the family's 2925-position model. The record is from RNAcentral.
CCUGUACCGAUAUGUAGUGCGAUGUGGGGACGGAGAUGGUUAACUCAGCCGGGUGUUGGAUGUCCCGGUUCAAGCGUGUAGUCGUAUCCCUUAGGCAAAUCCGGGGGAAUUAGAUGAGGCGUGAUAACGAGGAGGCUUGCCUCUGAAGUGAGUGAUACCCUGCUUCCAGGAAAAGCCACUAAGCUCCAGCUACAUACGACCGUACCGCAAACCGACACUGGUGCGCGAGAUGAGUAUUCUAAGGCGCUUGAGAGAACUCUGGAGAAGGAACUCGGCAAAUUGACACCGUAACUUCGGAAGAAGGUGUGCCUUUAGUAGGUGAUCCAUUUACUUGGUUAGCCCAAUGAGGCCGCAGAGAAUCGGUGGCUGCAACUGUUUAUUAAAAACACAGCACUCUGCAAAGACGAAAGUCGACGUAUAGGGUGUGACGCCUGCCCGGUGCUGGAAGAUUAAAUGAUGGGGUGCAAGCUCUUGACUGAAGUCCCAGUAAACGGCGGCCGUAACAAUAACGGUCCUAAGGUAGCGAAAUUCCUUGUCGGGUAAGUUCCGACCUGCACGAAUGGCGUAAUGAUGGCCACACUGUCUCCUCCAGAGACUCAGCGAAGUUGAAAUGUUUGUGAUGAUGCAAUCUCCCCGCGGAAAGACGGAAAGACCCCAUGAACCUUUACUGUAGCUUUACAUUGGACUUUGAACAGAUCUGUGUAGGAUAGGUGGGAGGCUUUGAAGCGGUGCCGCUAGGUGUCGUGGAGCCAACGUUGAAAUACCACCCUGGUGUGUUUGAGGUUCUAACCUUGGCCCGUUAUCCGGGUUGGGGACAGUGUAUGGUGGGCAGUUUGACUGGGGCGGUCUCCUCCCAAAGCGUAACGGAGGAGUUCGAAGGUACGCUAGCCACGGUCGGAAAUCGUGGUGAUAGUGCAUUGGCAUAAGCGUGCUUGACUGCGAGACUGACAAGUCGAGCAGGUACGAAAGUAGGACAAAGUGAUCCGGUGGUUCUGUAUGGAAGGGCCAUCGCUCAACGGAUAAAAGGUACUCUGGGGAUAACAGGCUGAUACCGCCCAAGAGUUCAUAUCGACGGCGGUUUUGGCACCUCGAUGUCGGCUCAUCUCAUCCUGGGGCUGUAGCCGGUCCCAAGGGUAUGGCUGUUCGCCAUUUAAAGAGGUACGUGAGCUGGGUUUAAAACGUCGUGAACAGUUUGGUCCCUAUCUUCCGUGGGCGCUGCAAGAUUGAGACAGCCUGCUCCUAGUACGAGAGGACCGGAGUGGACGCACCUCUGGUGUAUCGGUUGUCACGCCAGUGGCAUUGCCGAGUAGCUAAGUGCGGAAGAGAUAACCGCUGAAAGCAUCUAAGCGGGAAACUCGUCUCAAGAUGAGUCUUGCCGGGGCCUUGAGCCCCCUGAAGGGUCGUUCGAGACCAGGACGUUGAUAGGCUGGGUGUGGAAGCGCAGUAAUGCGUUAAGCUAACCAGUACUAAUUGCUCAAAA